Molecule: unclassified non-coding RNA, 253 nt
Filed under: uncultured Chitinophagales bacterium
Lineage: Bacteria; Pseudomonadati; Bacteroidota; Chitinophagia; Chitinophagales
Description: contains 16S-23S intergenic spacer region
Rfam family: Bacterial small subunit ribosomal RNA
Source: RNAcentral
UACGGAGGGUGCAAGCGUUAUCCGGAAUCACUGGGUUUAAAGGGUGCGUAGGCGGCGUCAUAAGUCAGAGGUGAAAGCCUGCAGCUUAACUGUAGAAUUGCCUUUGAUACUGUGGUGCUUGAAUAAGGAUGAGGUAAGCGGAAUUACCAGUGUAGCGGUGGAAUGCUUAGAUAUGCCAUAGAACACCGAUUGCGAAGGCAGCUUACUGGACCUUUAUUGACGCUGAGGCACGAAAGCGUGGGGAGCGAACAGG